This is a long non-coding RNA of Chinchilla lanigera (long-tailed chinchilla), 3928 nucleotides long. RefSeq lists it as uncharacterized. The record is from RefSeq and is a predicted model, not a curated record. Lineage: Eukaryota; Metazoa; Chordata; Mammalia; Rodentia; Chinchillidae. The transcript is spliced from 2 exons.
AUUGAACUCAGGGCUUUUGCACUAAGCUACAUCCCCAGCUCUUAAAAAAACAUGUUUUUUGGAGACAAGUUCUCCCUAUGUCCCUAGGUUGCCCAGAAUAGGGUAACCUUGUGUCCCCCUGCUUCAGCCUCCUAGAAAGCUAGGAUUGCCGGCAUGUGGCAACAGGCCUGGCAGAGUUUUGCUUUUCAACCUGUUCCAAACCUCAGACAAAGUGGACAAUCCUUAACUCCAUUCCUAUUCUUUUCUUUUUUUUUUUUUUUCCUUCUUCUGAGUCUUUUAAACAAACUGGAAUCUGCUAGUAAAGGACCUAAGGCAACCUCUUAACAAUGUAAAGGAGGAAAUCGAAGGAGUGGAGGCCUGAAUCCAGAAAUGGAAACUUCUGCCACUUUCCAAAGAAACAAAUGACUGACUCCAAUCCUAGGGCACUUGAAUGAAGAGGAUUUGUUCUGCCCUCACUGGGCUGCCAUCCAAAAAUGUGGCCCCAACGCAAGGCCAGGGUUGAGGUCAGGCGGCCUCACGUGCACGCGACCGGCGAGGGCUCACAGGGCCUCUCUCUCAGAAGGGCCCUGUGCUUGGCUUAAUCCUCUGUGGUUGGCAUCUUGAGAUCCUUCAGCAUUUCGUCUUUGAACUUGUGUUUGUAAGUCAAGUCCCAGGACUGGGGACACGAGCGUGAGCAGAGGAGAUGUGCGCCGUGCUGGUGCAGCUCGGGGUUCGGAGCGUCCAGGCAAGCACUGGGUCACGUGCCACAGAGUCAGCGGGUCCUGGGAGGCCGCGCGCAAAAGCGAGUUUGCAUCCUGAGAAACAGGUUAGGCAGCCUGGCCUUUCUUACUUGCGUUUUUCUGUCACUGGGCCACAAGUGAAACAGGAAAUGCAGAUGACAGAGGAGGAAAGGGAGAGGGACAUGGACAGUUCCAAGCUCCUUUCCUUCUUGCUAGCUAAAGGCAGAGAGCUGGUGGGCGUUUCUGCAGCAGGGAGUGACCUAAAAACAGCGGGCUCAGAGUCGAGCACAUUUCCACUGCCCUGCUGAGAUCAGCACACGGCACGCACAGCCUGUGGAAGAGGAACCUUGCGGUGGUGACCUCCAACAAGCCGGACACCACCAGCCCACUUCUGAUCAUUGCUGAGCCCUUUAAACAUACGAGGUUCUAUUAGUAAAUGACCUGCACUGAUGUUUUAAAAAUGCAAUUGAUAUAAAGCAGAAAGUUAGAUAGUGGGUAGUAAAAUCACACCAUCAGUUACACAGUCUUUGAUUCAUUUCUUAAGGUAAAGAAACAAAUAUUUCAUGUGUGUUGAAAUUUGGCUGACAAAAAUCUUUAAAGCCAUGAAGUCCGUGUUGGAAGGAAAAAAUGAAGGAAGGAAGGAAGGAAGGCAGGGAGGGAGGAAAGAAGAAAGGAAAAAAGGAUCACUAAGUUGGGAUGAGGCUGAGAGUCACUGUGAGGUGACCCCACACCCAUCAAAGCAGGAAUCCUGAUCACUGGCUCAAAAAUAGAUCAGGAAACCACCAGCGUGGUUUUCUUUCGCAUUUCCUGACCCUCUGUCAUACCCGUAACUCUUGGGAUUUACAACAAUCUCUAAUCCUUGAAGAAUGGCCAUGUGCUCUCUCAGGGGGCAGUGGGAAAGGCAGGGUGAGGCUGGUGGGCACAGCUGCGCCCUCCCCCUACACCAGGGCUCCAGGAAAGGCACCCCAGGGAGACACAGGGUGUUGGGCUGGCUUCAGGCACAGCCAGAAGGAGACCACAGGCUUCCGACAGCCCACCGGGAGAGGUGUGCUAGAUGCCGGGAGAGGGGUGUCAGAUGCACGGAGAGGGGUGUGGGAUGCAGCGGAAACAGCAGUCACACUUCACACCCCCGUCAUCAGGACUCCUUCAUACCAUGAUCACCACAUGUCUGGGGGACACUUGGGGGUUCCUGCCUCGCUGUGAAGCUGAGCCCUGAGGGGGAACCCAGGCAUGCACACACCCCACGAGGAGUUACGAGGUCACUCCCUUGACUUACAGAUGGGGAAGCUGAAGCGUUAGCAAGGUCCCCUAACUCUCAACAUCCACGGAGAGGAAGGGGCAGAGCCAGGACGCAGCGCUGGGCUGGACUGGCUGCCCACGCAGGCUGCCUCCCCCGAGUUCCGGCUGAGGCUUCGCUGCGUGCCACACAGCCUGAGUGCAGCUGGUUUUUCUUCUUUUCCUGGCUUGAGCUUAAUCUCAGCCGCCAGAGUUCAGCGGCAGCACUGGGUCUUUGGGUCUCUCUCAGGAAGCUGGAGUUCAGGGUUCAUCACAGGCACCGGGUGGACACGUGCCCGUUGUGAAUGGGCCGCCAGCCUCUCCCCACCGCUAUCUGCACUGUACUGUGACGUCCUCAGGGAGAAGUCUGCUGCCCUUGGGAACCCACGGGAGUCAGCCAAAGGACAGUCACGUUCAGAAGCAAGCUUGGCGGUCUUUAGGAGUCAACACGAGGGUCCGUUUUUCACUCCUGCUUCUUCUCUCCACUGUGCAUGGUUUCCCGCCUCAGCAUCCCACCUAGAGCAACCACACGAAGUGAGGCCACCUCCUCCUCCGUUGUGGAUGCCUUAGUUACGUUUCUCGUCCCUGAGACACAUCCCCACCAUGAGCAGCUUGAAGGAAGGGAGUCCGUUUGGGUUCACAGUUACAGUCCCCGGUCAGCAUGGCAGAGGGGCAAGGCGGAGCAAGGUUGCUUACAUCAGGCUGGCCAGGAAACAGAGGGAGAUGGGAGGAGCCUGGGAGAGAGAUAAACCCUUCCGGGUCAUGCUCCCAAGGACCCACCUCUUACAGGAAGUCAGCUAUACUGCCCCCUGCCCUGGUUCAGUCACCUUCCAAAAGCCUGUCCUCUGGGCCCAUGAGGCUUUGGGGACAUUCUUGAUCUAAGCCAGAACAGUGGGGAUGGCCUUUAGUGCUCCCUUCUGGAGUUUAGGAAAAGCAGUGGUAAACAUGUAGUCUGCCAAAAAACCGGGCACAGGCCGGACACAGCAGUCGCCUGCUGCCAUUUGCAAAUGGAUUGAUAGGAAGAGACAGAACGCGAGUGUUUUACCGGGAGGUCAGCCUGGGAACCCUGGGAAGCUGCUGUAAGUAUAGGUCGGGGCGGUGCCACCAUGAGCCUGGAUUCUGGGCUUACUCACUGCUCAGGGAAGAGUUUGCCCUUAUGCCAACUAGUCAAGAAAAAUUACGCUGGUGGGCACCUACUGGGGACAGGUGCAACCAAACAGUCUUCCUGGCAACACAGCCAAGGGAGGACAGUGCAGACACAGACACUGCGGCUUAUCUGUCGGGUGUCCAGUGCGUCCUCGGUCCAGUGCCGGCCUCACAUGGCCUAGAGUUCCCCAGGCCCCUUGCUGCUGCAUUGGGUGCAGUCAUUUUCACAUCAACUUUGAGCCAAAGUGCACGGAAUGGAACUAGGUGCAUUAAACAGCCACAGGGUGAAUUCCAGGGCUGAGCAGAAAUGACUUCGGAAUCUCACUCUGAACCAAAGUGCAUAACAGACUAGACAGACCAGGCGGCUAUGUCAAAAUACCAGAAACCAGAAGGGACACAGGGACACUGCGUCCCUCAAGACCUUCAGGCAUGUGCAAACCUAAAAGUACAGGACUCCAGCCUGAGGCCAUCCUUGCUUGUACUGUGGUUUAAACUCCCCUCCCCUCCACUGUGGGCUUUGGACAGCAUGACACUUCCUCUAAAAAUUUGUUUGGUCAAACACCCCCCUCCCAGCGGGUGGGUGGGCCGGGUCAGGAACCCAGCUGGGCCACGACUCCUGUCAGGCCCCAGCUAAGGAUCCUCAUAACCCCAGGACCUUGAGAGACUCAGUCCCAGCACCUGUGGAGGGAGUGAGCUCAUCUCACUGGCCGACUCCCACCCUUUGAGGGAACUCUCACUUCUUUCACUCAUUCUUGUGACUCCUUCUAAAUAAAUCUUAUUUUUGCUAA